CAGUCGCCGCGGGAAUACAGAGGGUGCAAGCGUUAAUCGGAAUUACUGGGCGUAAAGCGCGCGUAGGCGGUUACUCAAGUCAGAGGUGAAAGCCCGGGGCUCAACCCCGGAACUGCCUUUGAAACUAGGUGACUAGAAUCUUGGAGAGGUCAGUGGAAUUCCGAGUGUAGAGGUGAAAUUCGUAGAUAUUCGGAAGAACACCAGUGGCGAAGGCGACUGACUGGACAAGUAUUGACGCUGAGGUGCGAAAGCGUGGGGAGCAAACAGGAUUAGAUACCCGCGUAGUCCCUGUCUCUUAUAC
Molecule: ribosomal RNA, 301 nt
Filed under: uncultured bacterium
Lineage: Bacteria
Description: partial 16S ribosomal RNA
Rfam family: Bacterial small subunit ribosomal RNA
Source: RNAcentral